RNAcentral lists this non-coding RNA (110 nucleotides) under Schinkia azotoformans LMG 9581. Its description in RNAcentral is "Bacillus azotoformans LMG 9581 TPP riboswitch aptamer (THI element)". It matches the Rfam family "TPP riboswitch aptamer (THI element)". Rfam says of the family: Vitamin B(1) in its active form thiamin pyrophosphate (TPP) is an essential coenzyme that is synthesised by coupling of pyrimidine and thiazole moieties in bacteria. The record is from Rfam by way of RNAcentral. Lineage: Bacteria; Bacillati; Bacillota; Bacilli; Caryophanales; Bacillaceae.
UGAAAAUGUAAGGGGAGCUAAGGGAACUUGGCUGAGAGGAUACUAGUACGUAUCGACCCGUUUAACCUGAUCUGGGUAAUGCCAGCGUAGGAAUGAACAUUUACUUUGAA